UUUAAUUAAAUUUCGUGGACAAUAUCGAGGAAAUUCCCAGGUAUUGUCAACAGUAACAAGGCUACCUUAGAGCAAUUCAAGAAUGAAUCAAAAAGAUUAUUACUGUUUAGGGAAUUAAAUUUUUCCGACUUAAAAUGUUUCUUUUGAAGUAAGCUCAAAACAGAUUUAUUUAUACCAAUGAAAUUUAAGUGCUGAUGUUCAAAAUUCAUCUAAUGAUUAUGAUAAUUAUGAAAUUUUAAUUAUAUUUUAAAUUUCAAGAUUAAGAUUAUAAAUAUUUUACAGACGCUUAGAUAGAAACCGAAUAUAUUUGCAAGUACUUUACAUCAUCUGCUGGAUCUUGCUGGGUCAUUCCAUAUGAAAUCAUCCAGACCUUGACAUCCUUACGCUUCUGUUUAUUACCUAACUUGCAGUCUGUAUUAAAAAAAUUAAUAACUGCACAAAUUUUAGUUAAAAACACACAUGGGCUCCAGAGAUAUCGUCAGUUGAAAUAAUGCUAACUCUGCAUUUUAGUGAUUAUCUAAAGUGACAUCAAAGCUACUUUUUUAUAUAAAUUGAGAAACAAUUUCUUGGAUUGGCAAUUUCUUGAAUUGAGAAACAAUUUCUUGGAUUGGCAAAUAAAAAUAUGUAGCUGUGUGUAUUUGUAACUAAUUAAAGGUCGAAUAUCUGUGUUCUAUCGGCGGUAAACAUCCAAAGUAAAUACGACGUGUGUUGGGAGUCGUCUUUUCAAAAAACUUAAGCGUUUUAUGUAAUUUUAACGGAUCUUCAAGUAAAUGAUAGCUACUAGAAUGGGGAAGAUUAAGUUGCGAAGUUAUCAUUUUGUAUUAUAGUCAACAGUAAGAAUUCCAAGGAUAAAGAUAUUUACCCGAUCGUUUAAAGGUGGUUUCAGAGAGCAACAGAUCAGGGAGAUGGGACAGAGAGCAACAGAUCAGGGAGAUGGGACAGAGAGCAACAGAUCAGGGAGAUGGGACAGAGAGCAACAGAUCAGGGAGAUGGGACAGAGAGCAACAGAUCAGGGAGGUGGGCGAAUAAAUAGACAGAAGAAUAGCAAGCUUAUAAAUAAUUAAUUGCAGUUAAUAAAAAUAAUAUUUUGUUAUUAUUUUCUUUUGCAAAUUUAUAAAAGCUUAUUUAUCUUGGUUUUGUUAAUAGUUCUAAUUUAUCUUAAUUAUCAUUAUUAAUUAUCUACUAAAUUGUCACGUUUUUAAAUACUAGCGUUUUAAAAUAUUGUUUUUAAUUAAAGCUGCUAAUAAU
This is a long non-coding RNA of Hydra vulgaris (swiftwater hydra), 1248 nucleotides long. RefSeq lists it as uncharacterized. The record is from RefSeq and is a predicted model, not a curated record. Lineage: Eukaryota; Metazoa; Cnidaria; Hydrozoa; Anthoathecata; Hydridae.